ACACGACUACAUUAGAUACCCCGGUAGUCCUAGCCGUAAACGAUACUCGCUAGGUGUCGGCCACGGUGCGACCGUUGUCGGUGCCGUAGGGAAGCCGUGAAGCGAGCCACCUGGGAAGUACGGCCGCAAGGCUGAAACUUAAGGGAAUUGGCGGGGGAGCACAACAACGGGUGGAGCUUGCGGUCUAAUUGGGUUCAACGCCGGAAAUCUUACCGGGACCGACAGCAACAUGAAGGCCAAGCUGAAGACUUUGCCGGAUUAGCUG
Molecule: ribosomal RNA, 265 nt
Filed under: uncultured archaeon
Lineage: Archaea
Description: partial 16S ribosomal RNA
Rfam family: Archaeal small subunit ribosomal RNA
Source: RNAcentral